CCUACGGGAGGCAGCAGUGAGGAAUAUUGGUCAAUGGACGAGAGUCUGAACCAGCCAAGUAGCGUGAAGGAUGACUGCCCUAUGGGUUGUAAACUUCGUUUAUAUGGGAAUAAAAUGUUCCACGUGUGGGAUUUUGUAUGUACCAUAUGAAUAAGGAUCGGCUAACUCCGUGCCAGCAGCCGCGGUAAUACGGAGGAUCCGAGCGUUAUCCGGAUUUAUUGGGUUUAAAGGGAGCGUAGGUGGAUUGUUAAGUCAGUUGUGAAAGUUUGCGGCUCAACCGUAAAAUUGCAGUUGAAACUGGCAGUCUUGAGUACAGUAGAGGUGGGCGGAAUUCGUGGUGUAGCGGUGAAAUGCUUAGAUAUCACGAAGAACUCCGAUUGCGAAGGCAGUUCACUGGACUGCAACUGACACUGAGGCUCGAAAGUGUGGGUAUCAAACAGGAUUAGAUACCCGAGUAGUC
This 460-nucleotide ribosomal RNA is filed under the name uncultured bacterium. RNAcentral's name for it is "partial 16S ribosomal RNA". It matches the Rfam family "Bacterial small subunit ribosomal RNA", at positions 338 to 795 of the family's 1533-position model. The record is from RNAcentral.